Molecule: ribosomal RNA, 319 nt
Filed under: uncultured eukaryote
Lineage: Eukaryota
Description: LSU rRNA
Rfam family: Bacterial large subunit ribosomal RNA
Source: RNAcentral
AAAGUUUUCUUGCGGGAAGAUUUGAGCCGUUGGUGAGAUACCACUCUAACAAUGCUAGGAUUCUAACCCUAUGUCGUUAUCCGGCUAGGGGACAGUUUCAGGUGGUCAGUUUGACUGGGGCGGUCGCCUCCUAAAAGGUAACGGAGGCGUGCAAAGGUUCCCUCAGGCUGGUUGGAAAUCAGUCGUAGAGUGUAAAGGCAUAAGGGAGCUUGAUUGUGAGACAUACAAGUCGAACAAAGACGAAAGUCGGCCUUAGUGAUCCGGCGGUACCGAGUGGAAGGGCCGUCGCUCAACGGAUAAAAGUUACUCUAGGGAUAAC